AUGCGGAGAAGACGCUUGGUAGUCUUUUUGAAGGCCAUGUUUGACAAAUCCAUUGUUGAAUAUACUCUUGUGUAUAUUCAAUCUGUACCGGCCCUCGCGGAGAUCAUGAACCUCUGGAACGUUCUUCAUCACGUUGUGAUUCAGCAAAAUCUGGACAGCUUCAGGUGGCGGUUGGCCUCGAACGGAAAGUUCUCCGCGAAGACGGCCUACGCCGCCCUCUUUGCCAGCAGAGAGUUCUUUCCGGGCAUGGUGGAGCUUUGGUCCUCUUGGGCGCCUUUGGAAGUCAAGAUUUUUGUCUGGCUGGCUUUACAUAAUCGUCUCUGGACCGUCAAUCGCCUUGCCAAGAGAAAUAUGCAGCACCCACCCCAAUGCGUGAUGUGCUGCUAG
RNAcentral lists this ribosomal RNA (387 nucleotides) under Triticum aestivum (bread wheat). Its description in RNAcentral is "partial small subunit ribosomal RNA". The record is from RNAcentral. Lineage: Eukaryota; Viridiplantae; Streptophyta; Magnoliopsida; Poales; Poaceae.